Molecule: transfer RNA, 90 nt
Filed under: Alphaproteobacteria bacterium
Lineage: Bacteria; Pseudomonadati; Pseudomonadota; Alphaproteobacteria
Description: tRNA-Ser
Rfam family: tRNA
About the family: Transfer RNA (tRNA) molecules are approximately 80 nucleotides in length.
Source: RNAcentral
GGAAGGGUGUCCGAGUGGUUUAAGGAGCACGCCUGGAAAGUGUGUGUGGGCGAAAACCCACCGCGGGUUCGAAUCCCGCCUCUUCCGCCA